UACAGAGGUCUCAAGCGUUGUUCGGAUUCAUUGGGCGUAAAGGGUGUGUAGGUGGUUUCGUUUGUCUGGGGUGAAAGCCUUGAGCUUAACUCAAGAAGUGCCUCGGAAACGGCGAAACUCGAGUACUGGAGAGGGUCGUGGAAUUCCCGGUGUAGCGGUGAAAUGCGUAGAGAUCGGGAGGAACACCAGAGGCGAAGGCGGCGACCUGGACAGUUACUGACACUGAUGAACGAAAGCCAGGGGAGCAAACGGG
RNAcentral lists this ribosomal RNA (253 nucleotides) under uncultured bacterium. RNAcentral's name for it is "partial 16S ribosomal RNA". It matches the Rfam family "Bacterial small subunit ribosomal RNA", at positions 524 to 776 of the family's 1533-position model. The record is from RNAcentral.